GGGUUGUGAGGUUAAGCGACUAAGCGUACACGGUGGAUGCCCUGGCAGUCAGAGGCGAUGAAGGACGUGCUAAUCUGCGAUAAGCGUCGGUAAGGUGAUAUGAACCGUUAUAACCGGCGAUUUCCGAAUGGGGAAACCCAGUGUGAUUCGUCACACUAUCAUUACGUGAAUACAUAGCGUAAUGAAGCGAACCGGGGGAACUGAAACAUCUAAGUACCCCGAGGAAAAGAAAUCAACCGAGAUUCCCCCAGUAGCGGCGAGCGAACGGGGAGGAGCCCAGAGCCUGAAUCAGCAUGUGUGUUAGUGGAAGCGUCUGGAAAGUCGCGCGAUACAGGGUGACAGCCCCGUACACAAAAGCGCAUGUGCUGUGAGCUCGAUGAGUAGGGCGGGACACGUGGUAUCCUGUCUGAAUAUGGGGGGACCAUCCUCCAAGGCUAAAUACUCCUGACUGACCGAUAGUGAACCAGUACCGUGAGGGAAAGGCGAAAAGAACCCCGGCGAGGGGAGUGAAACAGAACCUGAAACCGUGUACGUACAAGCAGUGGGAGCACAGGUUUACCUGUGUGACUGCGUACCUUUUGUAUAAUGGGUCAGCGACUUAUAUUCUGUAGCAAGGUUAACCGAAUAGGGGAGCCGGAGGGAAACCGAGUCUUAAUUGGGCGUUAAGUUGCAGGGUAUAGACCCGAAACCCGGUGAUCUAGCCAUGGGCAGGUUGAAGGUUGGGUAACACUAACUGGAGGACCGAACCGACUAAUGUUGAAAAAUUAGCGGAUGACCUGUGGCUGGGGGUGAAAGGCC
This 798-nucleotide ribosomal RNA is filed under the name Salmonella enterica subsp. enterica serovar Paratyphi B var. L(+) tartrate +. RNAcentral describes it as "partial 23S ribosomal RNA". It matches the Rfam family "Bacterial large subunit ribosomal RNA", at positions 1 to 830 of the family's 2925-position model. Lineage: Bacteria; Pseudomonadati; Pseudomonadota; Gammaproteobacteria; Enterobacterales; Enterobacteriaceae. The record is from RNAcentral.